AUUGAACGCUGGCGGCAGGCCUAACACAUGCAAGUCGAACGGUAACAGGAAUCAGCUUGAUGAUUCGCUGACGAGUGGCGGAAGGGUGAGUAAUGUCUGGGAAAAUGCCUGAUGGAGGGGGAUAACUACUGGAAACGGUAGCUAAUACCGCAUAACGUCGAAAGACCAAAGAGGGGGACCUGAGGGCCCUUUGACAUCCGAUGUGCCCAGAGGGGAUUAGCUAGUCGGUGGGGUAACGGCUCACCUAGGCGACAAUCCCUAGCUGGUCUGAGAGGAUAGCCGGACAAACUGGAACUGCGACACGGUCCAGACUCCUACCGUAGGCAGCAGUGGGGAAUAUAGCACAAUGGGCGCAAGCCUGAUACAGCCCUGCCGCGUGUAUGAAGAAGGCCUUCGGGUUGUAAAGUACUUUCAGCGAGGAGGAAGGUGUUGUGGUUAAUAACCACAGCAAUUGACGUUACUCGCAGAAGAAGCACCGGCUAACUCCGUGCCAGCCGCCGCGGUAA
This 506-nucleotide ribosomal RNA is filed under the name uncultured bacterium. RNAcentral describes it as "partial 16S ribosomal RNA". It matches the Rfam family "Bacterial small subunit ribosomal RNA", at positions 30 to 523 of the family's 1533-position model. The record is from RNAcentral.